RNAcentral lists this ribosomal RNA (881 nucleotides) under 'Daucus carota' phytoplasma Pantnagar. RNAcentral describes it as "bacterial SSU rRNA". It matches the Rfam family "Bacterial small subunit ribosomal RNA", at positions 366 to 1254 of the family's 1533-position model. Lineage: Bacteria; Bacillati; Mycoplasmatota; Mollicutes; Acholeplasmatales; Acholeplasmataceae. The record is from RNAcentral.
CGGCAAUGGAGGAAACUCUGACCGAGCAACGCCGCGUGAACGACGAAGUACUUUGGUAUGUAAAGUUCUUUUAUCAAGGAAGAAAAGCAAGUGGCGAACCAUUUGUUUGCCGGCACUUGAUGAAUAAGCCCCGGCUAAUUAUGUGCCAGCAGCCGCGGUAAGACAUAAGGGGCAAGUGUUAUCCGGAAUUAUUGGGCGUAAAGGGUGCGUAAGCGGUCUAGUAAGUCAGUGGUGUAAUGGCAACGCUCAACGUUGUCCGGCUAUUGAAACUGCUAAACUUGAGUUAGAUAGAGGCGAGUGGAAUUCCAUGUGUAGCGGUAAAAUGCGUAAAUAUAUGGAGGAACACCAGAGGCGUAGGCGGCUCGCUGGGUCUUAACUGACGAUGAGGCACGAAAGCGUGGGGAGCAAACAGGAUUAGAUACCCUGGUAGUCCACGCCGUAAACGAUGAGUACUAAGUGUCGGGUUAAACCGGUACUGAAGUUAACACAUUAAGUACUCCGCCUGAGUAGUACGUACGCAAGUAUGAAACUUAAAGGACAUGACGGGACUCCGCACAAGCGGUGGAUCAUGUUGUUUAAUUCGAAGAUACCCGAAAAACCUUACCAGGUCUUGACAUGUUUUUGCAAAACGGUAGUAAUAUCGUAGAGGUUAUCAGAAACACAGGUGGUGCAUGGUUGUCGUCAGCUCGUGUCGUGAGAUGUUAGGUUAAGUCCUAAAACGAGCGAAACCCUUAUCGUUAGUUGCCAGCACGUUAUGGUGGGGACUUUAACGAGACUGCCAAUGAUAAACUGGCGGAAGGUGAGGAUCACGUCAAAUCAGCAUGCCCCUUAUGACCUGGGCUACAAACGUGAUACAAUGGCUGUUACAAAGAGUAGCUGAA